Molecule: long non-coding RNA, 773 nt
Organism: Gopherus flavomarginatus (Mexican gopher tortoise)
Lineage: Eukaryota; Metazoa; Chordata; Testudines; Testudinidae
Exons: 4
Source: RefSeq, a predicted model, not a curated record
CAGACUUGAUAAACAAGUUUGUCCUAGGCAAAGGAAUAUUGCAUCACCUGUUUGCCUGUGUCUGUAAUGUAAAUUGAACAGGGGGAUACCAGAGUUAAUAGGCAGUUCAUUUGCAUCUGAAGUAAACACCAGUUAUCAGGCAGAGGAGGAAGCAGCCUGACAUCAGCCCUCUGGAGCACAGACAGCAAUGGAGAAGAACUUUAUCUAGUGAGUCAAAUGAAUCCAUUUCAAAGGUUUACUGGACUAUAAGAAGAGAGGGAGAGAAGCCCUUUGUUAUCCAUCACUGAGAGAAUAAAAAGAUCAGGCUCUUUGCAUCGAUGAGUGGUGGAUCCCCAACUAGGUGAGCUGGUGCCACUGAGAAGUAGCUUUGGAUUCCACACAGGGAUUAAGAAGGAUUAAAUAGGUUUAGGCAUCUAACUCAGGCUUUGUGGAUUGCAACACUGUUCCUGUGACUUUUUAGGUGCCUUGAAGUUAGGCACUGCAACACUCAGCAUCACAGCACAAGUCCUUUGUGAAUCCAGACCUAUAAGUCUAAGAAUAGAGAAGAUGAGUUGCUGCACUUCAUUAAAACUCAGAACACGAGGCCUUCUGCCUCAUGGACUGAGAGACCUGCUUCUCCGAGUCCCAACUCCAUCAGAAAAUGGAAGUAGCUGCUAGUCAGGAAGAGGCCAGAACACCAGGUUCCCUUAUUCUUGUCCCAUGCACUCGAACACUGAGCACUGGUUUUGGUGAUCAUCUUUUUGGUUUCUUUAAUAAAAAAAAAAAAAAAAGAA